This 254-nucleotide ribosomal RNA is filed under the name uncultured bacterium. RNAcentral describes it as "partial 16S ribosomal RNA". It matches the Rfam family "Bacterial small subunit ribosomal RNA", at positions 524 to 776 of the family's 1533-position model. The record is from RNAcentral.
CACGUAGGCACCAAGCGUUGUCCGGAUUUAUUGGGCGUAAAGAGCUCGUAGGCGGUUCGGUAAGUCGGGUGUGAAAACUUUGGGCUUAACCCAAAGACUGCACUCGAUACUGCUGUGACUUGAGUCCGGUAGGGGAGUGGGGAAUUCCUGGUGUAGCGGUGGAAUGCGCAGAUAUCAGGAGGAACACCGGUGGCGAAGGCGCCACUCUGGGCCUGUCCUGACGCUCAGGCGCGAAAGCUAGGGGAGCAAACAGG